RNAcentral lists this ribosomal RNA (501 nucleotides) under uncultured bacterium. RNAcentral's name for it is "partial 16S ribosomal RNA". It matches the Rfam family "Bacterial small subunit ribosomal RNA", at positions 30 to 523 of the family's 1533-position model. The record is from RNAcentral.
AUUGAACGCUGGCGGCAGGCUUAACACAUGCAAGUCGAGCGGAGAUGAGGUGCUUGCACCUUAUCUUAGCGGCGGACGGGUGAGCAAUGCUUAGGAAUCUGCCUAUUAGUGGGGGACAACAUUCCGAAAGGAAUGCUAAUACCGCAUACGUCCUACGGGAGAAAGCAGGGGAUCUUCGGACCUUGCGCUAAUAGAUGAGCCUAAGUCGGAUUAGCUAGUUGGUGGGGUAAAGGCCUACCAAGGCGACGAUCUGUAGCGGGUCUGAGAGGAUGAUCCGCCACACUGGGACUGAGACACGGCCCAGACUCCUACGGGCGGCAGCAGUGGGGAAUAUUGGACAAUGGGGGGAACCCUGAUCCAGCCAUGCCGCGUGUGUGAAGAAGGCCUUAUGGUUGUAAAGCACUUUAAGCGAGGAGGAGGCUACUGAGACUAAUACUCUUGGAUAGUGGACGUUACUCGCAGAAUAAGCACCGGCUAACUCUGUGCCAGCCGCCGCGGUAA